RNAcentral lists this long non-coding RNA (1098 nucleotides) under Equus caballus (horse). RNAcentral describes it as "lncRNA (ENSECAG00000031572.2)". Lineage: Eukaryota; Metazoa; Chordata; Mammalia; Perissodactyla; Equidae. The record is from RNAcentral.
GUUUGUUGUGUCGCGUAGAUGCCACGGGGAGCCCCAGGCACGGCCAGGCGGCCCCAGCAUCUGCUACGCUCCUCUUCUACACGGGAGAAGAGAAAGUCUCUGACUGUUUUUUUUACUUGCUUUUAAAGUGCACAAGUGACACAUAAACACAUUUGGAGUCUGGAACAAAUCUCGGACAUCACGUCAUUUCGUCCGUAAAUACUUCAGUUUGUGCCUCUUGCAGAUCAGGUCUCUUAACAUCAGCGUGAUGUCGUCAUCGUACCAGCUCAGGUAACAAGCAUCCCUCGCUAUCUUCUCAUCCCCAUUUCCUCCAGUUUUCUCAGGACGUCUCCAGGAGCAAUCGAAGCGUUGCUGGGCGUGUGGGUGAAUCCCAAGGUUCCUCGUCAGCGGGUCCACUGUCGGACUAGGCUCUGGCCAACGGGACCCGGCAUGGGAAUGGGCGAGAUGUGUGCAACUUCCGGCUAGGACGUGUGAGGGGAAAUGUGGGCCUGACGGCAGGAGCUGAAGCAGCUGUCUCAGCCCAGAAGUAAUAUGAUCCGUUGGAGACAUUUGGAAAAUAUGAAGAAUAUUUCCAGAACCAUCCAUAACUCUAGGCCUGAGAUUCUGCUGUGUUUCCUGUCUGUUGUACCACUGUCUCACGUCUUGGUUUCUGGCCAUGUCGAGGGAGAGUUCCAGGCAUGCAGUGCCUUUGCAAGACGAAAAUGCAGAUUCCAAGGCACCCCCAGACGAGCUGGAGGACCGGGUGCCCUGGAGCCACCCUGGGGCCACCCGCUUCCGUCGUGGCGUGGGCCCCAUCCCCAGCUCCAUCUGGUCCUCGCCACGGAGGCCUCUGGCAGUCAGCACAGGGGCAGCCUCCCACAGAGCCCUGAAGGACCAGACAAUUUAGGACAGAAGCAGAGAGUGAAUGACAUGUAGACCUCAUGGACUGCUGUCCAACUUCCACAGUGACCAGCUCGGGCCAGUCCUGCACCAUCAACCCCCAACCCGCUGCCCCACUUGUGUUAUUUUGCAGCUAAUCCCUGACAUCAUAUUUCAUCCUUAAACAUUUGGCAUUGUCUCUAAAAAAAUUAAGAUCUUUAAUAAAACAUUACUACAGAA